AUGGCCGGAUCCGACCUCCCGUACACCGGCUCCGUCGGCGGCGGCAUCUUUCCCCCGCCGCGGACCCCGCCGUCGGCGUCGAGGAAGCGCAGGCGCGGCGACAACGACGACGGGGCGCCGCCCUCGCUGCCGAGCCGCGAGACCCGGGCCUCGGUCGCGGCGCGGGAGGCCGCGGUCGGCGCGGUGCGGACGGCGCGGCGCGUGGCCGCGGGGGCGGUGUGGGCGGCCAAGGCGGGGCGGGGCCACGGGCGCGGCCUCGGCAACGUGGGGCGGAUGCGGGAGGUGCUCCUCACGGUGCGCGGCGCGCGCUGCGCCCGCGUCCGGAACGACGACGACGACGACGACUACCCGUACCCGCAGGAAAGCAGGAGUCCGGAGAGGCUAAAUUGUAAGAUCAGCUACUUAUCUAAUUAUCCGCUGAAACGUGUUAGAACAGACCCUGUCAAGCAUCAAGCUUCUGUCCCUGAGUGGAAAAAUGCUCCAUCUGUGGAAUAUACUGAUGAUUACAAAGCUGCAACCUUACCAAAACUGGGCACAGUUGUCUAUCCACUAAACAUGGAUAUCUCAGCAACUGACAAGUCAGAGAAGAAGAGGAAAAGAUUGGUAGACAAGUGUAAGUGUUCUUGUCCUGGAUCUGAGGACUGUGUACGAUUUCACGUAAAGAAGGCAAGGAGCUGGAUCAAGGAUCAGUUGGGUGAGGAAGCUUUCAAAAACUGUGGGCUAGACGCAAUGGGUGAGCAAGUUGGAGAGCAAUGGACCACAGUUUUCAAAAGGAAACUUGAAAAAGUUGACAAGUUGAUUCCUCAGAAUAAACAUCAGAAAUUCAUGGAGAUUGCCUUGAAGGAGCUCGGACAGAAGGAAACAAAGGAUUUGGCGAAGUAUUACUACAAUGUUUUUCUUCCCAGGAGAUUGGCAAGCUUGACCAGGGCAGAGCAUAAAAAGGAUGAAGCUGUCGAUACGAGUGAUGAAAAGAGUGAUCAAGAGGAUGGCGAGAAUGAACGUCAUCCUCGAAAGAAAAGUAAAAAAAGCUAUGGAUCUUCUUCCACAAGGUGCAAGAAGUAG
Molecule: ribosomal RNA, 1062 nt
Filed under: Triticum aestivum (bread wheat)
Lineage: Eukaryota; Viridiplantae; Streptophyta; Magnoliopsida; Poales; Poaceae
Description: partial small subunit ribosomal RNA
Source: RNAcentral